UACGUAGGGUGCAAGCGUUAAUCGGAAUUACUGGGCGUAAAGCGUGCGCAGGCGGCUAUGCAAGACAGAUGUGAAAUCCCCGGGCUCAACCUGGGAACUGCAUUUGUGACUGCAUGGCUAGAGUACGGUAGAGGGGGAUGGAAUUCCGCGUGUAGCAGUGAAAUGCGUAGAUAUCAAGUGGAACACCAGUGGCGAAGGCGAGUCCCUGGACGAUUUCUGACGCUGAGGCACGAAAGCUAGGGGAGCAAACAGG
Molecule: ribosomal RNA, 253 nt
Filed under: uncultured bacterium
Lineage: Bacteria
Description: partial 16S ribosomal RNA
Rfam family: Bacterial small subunit ribosomal RNA
Source: RNAcentral